RNAcentral lists this transfer RNA (76 nucleotides) under Deltaproteobacteria bacterium GWC2_42_11. RNAcentral describes it as "tRNA-Arg". It matches the Rfam family "tRNA". Rfam says of the family: Transfer RNA (tRNA) molecules are approximately 80 nucleotides in length. Their secondary structure includes four short double-helical elements and three loops (D, anti-codon, and T loops). The record is from RNAcentral. RNAcentral also lists the same sequence under 1 other name. Lineage: Bacteria; Deltaproteobacteria.
GCGCCCGUAGCUCAGUGGACAGAGCAGCGGUCUUCGAAACCAUUGGUCGGGGGUUCAAAUCCCUCCGGGCGCGCCA